GACGAACGCUGGCGGCGUGCUUAACACAUGCAAGUCGAACGGAAAGGCCUCAGCUUGCUGGGGUACUCGAGUGGCGAACGGGUGAGUAACACGUGGGUGAUCUGCCUUGCACUCUGGGAUAAGCUUGGGAAACUGGGUCUAAUACCGGAUAUGAACUGCCUUUAGUGUGGUGGUUGGAAAGUUUUUUCGGUGCAAGAUGAGCUCGCGGCCUAUCAGCUUGUUGGUGGGGUAAUGGCCUACCAAGGCGUCGACGGGUAGCCGGCCUGAGAGGGUGUACGGCCACAUUGGGACUGAGAUACGGCCCAGACUCCUACGGGAGGCAGCAGUGGGGAAUAUUGCACAAUGGGCGGAAGCCUGAUGCAGCGACGCCGCGUGGGGGAUGACGGCCUUAGGGUUGUAAACUCCUUUCGACAGGGACGAAGCUUUUUGUGACGGUACCUGUAUAAGAAGCACCGGCUAACUACGUG
This 467-nucleotide ribosomal RNA is filed under the name uncultured bacterium. RNAcentral describes it as "partial 16S ribosomal RNA". It matches the Rfam family "Bacterial small subunit ribosomal RNA", at positions 28 to 507 of the family's 1533-position model. The record is from RNAcentral.